Non-coding RNA from Cinara cedri, 435 nucleotides. Lineage: Eukaryota; Metazoa; Arthropoda; Insecta; Hemiptera; Aphididae. The record is from the annotation of a GenBank genome assembly.
CUCUAACAAUACCGGUGUACAGUACCGAUUCGUACGCGGGUUUCGGCGAUCCCUCCCGGCUAUCACUCAGCGACUCCUCCGCAGGUCGAAAACCGCGGUUAAAAGAAACGCGAUUCGGUCCGUACCGAAUGCGGUUUAUCGUAGAGCCACGGAUAUCGCACGGCGACUGUUAUGAAGACUGACGGGAGAUGGAUCAGGAGAGGAGGAGGGGGCACGCUCUCGCGGCGAUACAGGAAAAACGCCGGUAUUUUCGCCGGCACGCCGGUAAUAUCGCAAUUAUAGUCACGAUACCGACCAAAUUCAAUACGGCGCUGUAACAUUAAAUCGGCAUUAUAAUAAUAAUCGAAAAUAAUAACGAAAAAUCGAUAUUUUUUUUUUUUUUUUCCUUGUAUAUUUCCACAUUAUAAUAUGAUAAUAUAACAUUAUAAAUACUAU